This 651-nucleotide long non-coding RNA is filed under the name Coturnix japonica (Japanese quail). RNAcentral describes it as "lncRNA (ENSCJPG00005019462.1)". The record is from RNAcentral. Lineage: Eukaryota; Metazoa; Chordata; Aves; Galliformes; Phasianidae.
AUGCUAUGGACCCAAAUCAGUUGUAGGUCUUUCUUGGUUGACUUAGCUCUGAAAUCUGCAGUCCCAGUUUCUCUGUCUUUUAGUUGCUGUAGAGCAAUGUAUUCAAGUAAAGUUUCUUGUUACAGUAAUGUUGUCAGAUUAAAACAGAAACAUCCCUCUCCAUUUUCAUUAGUACGUGAUAGCUUGUUGGACACAACUUCAGAAACUUCAGAAUGUUCUGAGGACAUCACAGAAUCACAGAAUCGUAAGGGUUGGAAGGGACCUCCAGAGAUCAUCAAGUACAACCCCCCUGCCAAAGCAGGUUCCCUACACCAGGUCUCACAGUUGUUCUGCAGACUGUGCACAUUUCGCUGCUCUGUGGUGAAUAUCUGUGCUUCCUUUUUGUUUCCUGGGAAACAAGUGAGUGGUUUUAUGCACUGGAAGACAUACACUAAGAAUAAUUCUUCCCAUUUAAUCCACUCUGAUUUUUACUUCUUAAUAUACUGGAAGAUUAAGUUUGAAGCAAGAGCUUCAGCCAUUUUAGGGAUGGCUUUUACCACUUGGAGCUUUCUGGAACAGGCCCCAUGUAAGCUUGGAAGAGACCUUAUAUAUUCGCUCAGCAAGACCCAAUUUGACUGUGACUUGCUGCCUUGUUUCUUUACAUUCAUCUGA